AAUGGCUCAUUAAAUCAGUUAUCGUUUAUUUGAUAGUACCUUACUACAUGGAUACCUGUGGUAAUUCUAGAGCUAAUACAUGCUAAAAACCCCGACUUCGGAAGGGGUGUAUUUAUUAGAUAAAAAACCAAUGCCCUUCGGGCUCCUUGGUGAUUCAUAAUAACUUAACGAAUCGCAUGGCCUUGCGCCGGCGAUGGUUCAUUCAAAUUUCUGCCCUAUCAACUUUCGAUGGUAGGAUAGUGGCCUACCAUGGUGGCAACGGGUAACGGGGAAUUAGGGUUCGAUUCCGGAGAGGGAGCCUGAGAAACGGCUACCACAUCCCAGGAAGGCAGCAGGCGCGCAAAUUACCCAAUCCCGACACGGGGAGGGAGUGACAAUAAAUACUGAUACGGGGCUCUUUUGGGGCUCGUAAUUGGGGAUGAG
RNAcentral lists this ribosomal RNA (423 nucleotides) under Trichocomaceae sp. LM189. Its description in RNAcentral is "SSU rRNA". It matches the Rfam family "Eukaryotic small subunit ribosomal RNA", at positions 92 to 518 of the family's 1831-position model. Lineage: Eukaryota; Fungi; Ascomycota; Eurotiomycetes; Eurotiales; Trichocomaceae. The record is from RNAcentral.